AUUGAACGCUGGCGGCAGGCCUAACACAUGCAAGUCGAGCGGAGCGGCGGACGGGUGAGUAAUGCCUAGGAAUCUGCCUGGUAGUGGGGGAUAACGUCCGGAAACGGGCGCUAAUACCGCAUACUAUCAGAUGAGCCUAGGGCGGAUUAGCUAGUGGGUGGGGUAAAGGCCUACCAAGUCGACGAUCCGUAAAUGGUCUGAGAGGAUGAUCAGUCACACUGGAACUGAGACACGGUCCAGACUCCUACGGGAGGACGCAGUGGGGAAUAUUGGACAAUGGGCGAAAGCAUGAUCCAGACAUGCCGCGUGUGUGAAGAAGGGCUUCGGAUUGUAAAGCUCUGUAAGUUGGGAUGCGUUAUCAACAGAAUAAGCACCGGCUAACUUCGUGCCAGCAGCCGCGGUAAUAC
RNAcentral lists this ribosomal RNA (407 nucleotides) under uncultured bacterium. Its description in RNAcentral is "partial 16S ribosomal RNA". It matches the Rfam family "Bacterial small subunit ribosomal RNA", at positions 30 to 526 of the family's 1533-position model. The record is from RNAcentral.